Long non-coding RNA from Oreochromis niloticus (Nile tilapia), 1545 nucleotides. RefSeq lists it as uncharacterized. The transcript is spliced from 5 exons. The record is from RefSeq and is a predicted model, not a curated record. Lineage: Eukaryota; Metazoa; Chordata; Actinopteri; Cichliformes; Cichlidae.
UCACUGCAAUGAAAAAAGACAUUUAUAAAAAUUUCAGAUUUUCCAGCAGACGUGGGCUAGUGCCAAGAAAAUAAACCAUAAGUGAUGACAUCGAGCAAUGACAGAAGGAAUUUUGAAUGAAAGAUAAAAUCAUUUAAGAGGAAAGAGGAAGGAAGAAUGACAAACAGCUACUGUAACUGUACAUAUUACAGUGAAAGCAGGAUGGCUUCUAACAAGCUCAGCCACUAACAGAGGAGAGAAAAAGGAGAUGGUGAAAUUAAUCUGAGGAGCCAGCUGUCUUUGUAGCCCGUGCACUUCGCUGAUGAUGUAUUCUCCUGUCGGAAAAGAGGACGAGAUGAGCCACAUCAACCGUCAUAGGGAAAUAUCCAGGUGCUCCCAAACUGCAGCCAACCAGAGUACUGCUCAAGACGAUCUGGCAAUUUGGGCGACAUUCAAUCAACUCUCAAAACUUAUGGAUGCUUGCAUCACGGGAGUUUAUCUGGAAGUUGGGGCACGCCGUGGAGAUAUGGAAGAAACCCAGGGGGGAAAAUGGAAUUUUGCCAGGUGUGCUGUUGAGAAAAAGAUGAAAUAUUGCAAUCAUUUACCAACAACCUCACCUGGACACCCAUCUGAUCGCAGGCUGACAAGCGAGCAGGAAACAUUGUGUGUAAAAGGACUAAAGGACAGGGGGUUCACAUUUGACAUUUGUAGCAGGUUUCAGUGCAGAUAAAUACUCACAUUCCAUCAUUUGGCCCCCUCUCUCUUUCUCGGACUGUCACAUGGCUCUAUCCCCGGGGAGACAUCCACUGCCUUGAAGUCCGCUGCACCACCAAUCGCAGUCUUCCAAGGCUCAGAGAAUAGAACGACUGCACCCUGCUGUAUCUAAAUAUCACUGCCACUGCUGGAGUGUGUGUAUGUGUCUUAGUCACACAGAUCUUGCCUUAGCAUAGUGGAGCCAGCAAAUGAUUAAUUCUUUCUCCCAGAUUUUUGGCCGGUUCUCCCUAUUACCAUCACUAACGACAUCACAGAUAACGCAAACUAGCGCUUCUGCUUCGCCAGCAGCCAAGAUAUAUUUACACCAAGCUUGGUAUCGAGAUGCACGAGCACAUAUCACAUGAAGCCGCAAUAAGGCUCGCUGACAUCAUCUCCAAUGAUCGGAUCAAACCCCCAGAGAGUUGUGUUACACAGACGGAGAAGGAGUGCGAUGGAAUAAAGGGAAUCAAAAGGAGGAAGUGGAAAGGAAAGAUGCGAAGCAAAAUGAAACCGAAUGGAAAAAGCAGAGGAGGAAAGCAGAGAGUGGAACAGAGGGAGAGGCUGAGAGUGGGGGGGGGGAGAGAAGCAGUCUGACUAAGCAAGACGAGCAUGUUAUGAAACAGCAAUGGGCUGCGUAGCGACUGGCUUCUCAGAUUGAUUUAUAAAUGUGAGCUGACAGCUGAAGACAAGUGAAAACAAACUUUCUGGUUUUGCUGCCAACAGUCGUUGGAAGCUUGCAGGCAUAUUAUUCACUGUCAUGUGAUGCAACUUGUAACAGUGAUUCUGGCUCACACUCGAUUUGUCUGAAUAAAA